AUGGCGCCGGGGCAUCGAGGUCAGGUCGCCUGCCUCCAGACACCUCUGAUGCGCGAGGUCGACAUCACCUCCCUCCAUUCGGCACAAACAUCGACGACGCCUGUGCGUCGAGGUCGAAGGCGCCGGUGUGUCGAGGUCGACGUCAUCUUCCUCCCCAGCAACAGAUCCAACGACGAACACCAAUCCUUGUCCAUUGUGAUGCGUGGCAACGGCAAGCGCAAGAGGAAGAGGUGCUGUCCAAGGGACCGCCAAAGCAUCGCGCUCCUCCUCUUCACGAUGCUUCACGCUGGCGGGCAUGGGAGGGCUCCUGACCACGGCUACCUCCCCGCUGACGGCGAGUGCGGUGCCUGCUCCCCACUAUGGUACAACGCGCUGCUUAGAUCCGCGUCGGUGGAAACCCGAUGCAGGUGCUAUUAG
RNAcentral lists this ribosomal RNA (417 nucleotides) under Triticum aestivum (bread wheat). RNAcentral describes it as "partial small subunit ribosomal RNA". Lineage: Eukaryota; Viridiplantae; Streptophyta; Magnoliopsida; Poales; Poaceae. The record is from RNAcentral.